Non-coding RNA from Podarcis lilfordi (Lilford's wall lizard), 76 nucleotides. Lineage: Eukaryota; Metazoa; Chordata; Lepidosauria; Squamata; Lacertidae. The record is from the annotation of a GenBank genome assembly.
ACUGCCAUAGUUCAGUGAUAGAGCAUCUGCUUUGCUUGCAGAAGGUCAUAAGUUCAAAUCCUGGCACCCUGCAGUA